Molecule: transfer RNA, 57 nt
Filed under: Capra hircus (goat)
Lineage: Eukaryota; Metazoa; Chordata; Mammalia; Artiodactyla; Bovidae
Also listed under: 1 other name
Rfam family: tRNA
About the family: Transfer RNA (tRNA) molecules are approximately 80 nucleotides in length. Their secondary structure includes four short double-helical elements and three loops (D, anti-codon, and T loops).
Source: Rfam by way of RNAcentral
UGGCUCAGACAGUAAAGCGUCUGCUUGCAAUGCAGGAGACCCAGGUUUGAUUCCUGG